AAUUUGAAAUCUGGCCCCCCCGGGGUCCGAGUUGUAAUUUGCAGAGGGUGCUUCGGGCGAGGGCGCGGUCUAAGCCCAUUGGAACAUGGCGUCGGAGAGGGUGAGAACCCCGUAUGUGACCGCGCGCCGAGCCCAUGUGAAGCCUCUUCGACGAGUCGAGUUGUUUGGGAAUGCAGCUCAAAAUGGGUGGUAUAUUUCAUCUAAAGCUAAAUACCGGCUGGAGACCGAUAGCGCACAAGUAGAGUGAUCGAAAGAUGAAAAGCACUUUGGAAAGAGAGUCAAACAGUACGUGAAAUUGUUGAAAGGGAAGCGCGUGCAACCAGACCUGCCCGGGGGCGAUCAGCCGCUGUUCUCAGCGGUGCACUCGCCCCACGAUCAGGCCAGCAUCGGUUCCGGCGGCCGGACAAAGGCCCGGGGAAUGUAGCUCCCCUCGGGGAGUCUUAUAGCCCCGGGCGCAAUGCGGCCAGCCGGGACCGAGGACCGCGCUUCGGCUAGGAUGCUGGCGUAAUGGUUGCAAGCGACCCGUCUUGAAACACGGACCAAGGAGUCUAACAUCUAUGCGAGUGUUUGGGUGUCAAACCCAUGCGCGGAAUGAAAGUGAACGGAGGUGAGAACCCCCCGGGGCGCAUCAUCGACCGAUCCAGAUGUCUUCGGAUGGAUUUGAGUAUGAGCAUAGCUGUUGGGACCCGAA
This 691-nucleotide ribosomal RNA is filed under the name Oropogon atranorinus. Its description in RNAcentral is "eukaryotic LSU rRNA". It matches the Rfam family "Eukaryotic large subunit ribosomal RNA", at positions 112 to 820 of the family's 3401-position model. The record is from RNAcentral. Lineage: Eukaryota; Fungi; Ascomycota; Lecanoromycetes; Lecanorales; Parmeliaceae.